AAACUCAAAGGAAUUGACGGGACCGCACAAGCGGUGGAGUAUGUGGUUAAUUCGACGCAACGCGAAGAACUUACCAGGGCUUGACAUCCCCUGACCGCGUAUGAAAGUACGUUUUCACCCUCGGGUGACAGGGAGACAGGUGGUGCAUGGUUGUCGUCAGCUCGUGUCGUGAGAUGUUGGGUUAAGUCCCGCAACGAGCGCAACCCCUACGUUUAGUUGCUAACGCGUGAAGGCGAGCACUCUAGACGAACUGCCGUUGACAAAACGGAGGAAGGUGGGGAUGACGUCAAAUCAUCAUGCCCCUUAUGUUCUGGGCUACACACGUGCUACAAUGGCCGGUACAGACGGACGCAAAGCCGCGAGGUGGAGCAAAUCCUAAAAAGCCGGUCUCAGUUCGGAUUGCAGGCUGCAAUUCGCCUGCAUGAAGUCGGAAUCGCUAGUAAUCGCAGGUCAGCAUACUGCGGUCGAAUACGUUCCCGGGCCUU
This 485-nucleotide ribosomal RNA is filed under the name uncultured Pelotomaculum sp. RNAcentral describes it as "bacterial SSU rRNA". It matches the Rfam family "Bacterial small subunit ribosomal RNA", at positions 897 to 1382 of the family's 1533-position model. Lineage: Bacteria; Bacillati; Bacillota; Clostridia; Eubacteriales; Desulfotomaculaceae. The record is from RNAcentral.